GUGUCAGCCGCCGCGGUAAGACGGAGGGGGCUAGCGUUGUUCGGAAUGACUGGGCGUAAAGAGCGCGUAGGCGGUUUAUUAAGUGAGGCGUGAAAGCCCUGGGCUUAACCUAGGAGGUGCGCUUCAUACUGGUAAGCUAGAGUACGAGAGAGGAAAGCGGAAUUCCUAGUGUAGAGGUGAAAUUCGUAGAUAUUAGGAAGAACACCAGUGGCGAAGGCGGCUUUCUGGCUCGUAACUGACGCUGAGGCGCGAAAGCGUGGGGAGCAAACAGGAUUAGAUACCCUGGUAGUCCACGCCGUAAACGAUGAGUGCUAGACGUUGGAGGUUAAAUCUUCAGUGUCGCAGCUAACGCAUUAAGCACUCCGCCUGGGGAGUACGGUCGCAAGAUUAAA
Molecule: ribosomal RNA, 392 nt
Filed under: uncultured bacterium
Lineage: Bacteria
Description: bacterial SSU rRNA
Rfam family: Bacterial small subunit ribosomal RNA
Source: RNAcentral